AACAUAAACUAAAAUAAUAAUAAUAAAGAACAAAUUCCCUUACUCUACUUUUUGUCUUAACUUUUUUUUGUUGCUAAUGCAAAUUCGUGUCUAGUUUUGUUUUUGACUGUGGUCGGAGUUUUUCGUGGUGCGGUUAAGUAGUGCAGGAAUGCAGAAGUUGAACGCUGGACUGUUUCAUGGAAAGGACUUUCCAACAUCAUAAUAAUGUGAAUUAUUCAUUCGUUUAUGCUUUUAGUUUAUGUUUUUAAUUAAAUUUGUUGUUCGCGACCACGAAAAAGGGACCAUAAGCUUUUAUUCCCCAGCUAACCAUUAUUUUCUCUGCGCUUUUGUUCAUCAAUUACGACAGUUGUUUAACAUUUCUCUUUGUCUAGUUUAGGGGCUUAUGAGAGUACUCUUUCAUAUGUUUGUAUGAGCGAUUGCUACGACUCAUUUGCUUGGAAUACAACUGAGGGUGUCGAAGGAAGGAGGAUUUUGAUUCAAAAGAUUCAAGCAUCCUUGCAUGGGUUACCUAUAUUUUGGAUGCUAUAAAUAUAACGAUUUUGCUCCAUUUCCAACCCAUUGUCAGGUAUCGCCUUCAAUUUGCGGUUCGCCUCUACUACUGCUACUGUGUGGCUGAUAAUAUGGAAAUUUCCGCGUUUUGUCUUCUCCACUGUUCAUUUUCCUUGGCAUCUAUACACACCUUGCCAUCUUUGGCUUUGGACGGACGUGCCGGUUCCUGUCGCAGUCCAUCAACCCAUCGUCCCAUCGUCGCCUCCUACUUUGUAGUGCCUUUGGGACUUUUUUAUAAACAAAUAGGGAGUAACACUUUCUCUGGCCCAGCGAGAUAUUGCUUCUACAUUGCUAUGCUAUGCCCGCACACAAUGACACGACUCGACGCGAGUCGAGUCAAGGCAGGCGAUGCACACAGGAUGCCAACAAACGCACAAGCACACACACUAGUGAACAAGUAGGAAUGGAAUGAUUUAGCGCCGACUAUGGGAUACCUACUGUCGGGCCACUUUUCUAUACCGAUCUGCCUGUUCUUGGUACAAGCGUUAAGGAUAUAAGCAAAGGUGUUCCUAGGUCCCUCUUGCUUUUGGGGUCUCCUAGAUCUUCUACCUCUACAAUAAACGGAUAUACCCUCAUAACCACUAUAGCAAUACAGAAAGAGAAAGCUUGAAGUAGAUAGAGAGAUAGAGACAGAGGGAGAGAGAGAGUGACUCGAAACAGUCGAUCCACGGGGGCAAAGCAAAGUAUUGUCGCCUGCAGUAAAUGCCAGGCUUCCGCUGCGACAUGCGGCCAUAGAAGCAACAGAAGAAGCGUCGACCGGAAGGAACUGUUGUACGGACCGCCAUUAUGAAUGCAGCUCCAUUUCACCCACCCACCAUCCACCUCCAGUCACUCCUCUCGUCUACUCGUCGGUCUUGUUCCGUGUGCGUUUUUCUCUGGACUUACACCAUUUUUUUUUUUUGGGACUACCAACUCCACUUUAGGUACCUCCUUCCUCGAAUUAGGCCUGCAAAAAAGCCGGAAAUCUUAUAUAAGCUGGAUAAAUGGUAGACUUCCUCUACAAGUGACAAAAAAGUUGAAAAAUACGAUAUUUGGCCAAUGGUUCCUAUGUAAGCUAUACGAUACAUCGCUCUGAUCGGAUUGCAUUUUUUUUUGUGAUUUAGAAUAUUAAAACAUAUUCAAGCCCCCAAAAUUUCAGCUCGAUUUGUUAAUAUUUAAGCCAACAAUAAAUAGGUAACAUUCAACUUUUCAGACUAAUGUGCAACUGCAGAGUAUUAUUAGUAGUUAUACUAUUAGUAUUGCCACUCACGUCUACCAAAAAUGCUUUCGGAAUGGGAAUGAAAUAUGGAAUAUUUGAUAAAAUGUUUUAUCCAACUACGUCCAAUUCUGGACGGCUUAACAGCACUACAUUCCGCUUUAAGAAACUAUUAGACAAAAAACUCUUAUACCUCCCGUGCAGACAUCCCAUCGGUGAAAUAUA
Long non-coding RNA from Drosophila miranda, 1969 nucleotides. RefSeq lists it as uncharacterized. NCBI's taxonomy places the organism in Eukaryota, Metazoa, Arthropoda, Insecta, Diptera, Drosophilidae. The record is from RefSeq and is a predicted model, not a curated record. The transcript has 3 exons.